CUGAUUAAUUGUAUCCACCUGCAUUUAUUAAACAAGAGAUGGCUUAAACCAUCUAAUUUCCUAUGGAUAUUUGCGGAAAAACAACAAGAUGGAGGGGAAUACCUGUGGCAAGACAAAAUGAAGUCAAUGUUCUAAUUGGUUCUCUUGAUUCCCACAGCAAACCAACUCCAUUUUGUAGUUGGCCCUUACUCAUCAUGACUCCAAGGGAGAUCUUCUAUUCACUACCCUUUAAGACUUCACAGGUGACAUUGUUAUGUCUCCUAAAACUAGACUUCCAAGUGGGAUUAAUGGCUGUCCCACACUGAAGCAGAUGGGUCCUCCAUCUUUCUAUAUGGAUAGUAACCUCUUUUCAGAUCUCCCUAGAUUAAUAACAACAAAAAUGGUGCAAUCUCUGGAUUUUCUUUUAUUUGUAAUCACAUGUAAGAUACAUUAUCCAGUUCUGAGUAUUUGGGGGGGAAUCUGAUCACAAGGUAAGUUGCUUAAAGGAAUUAUGGCUUUACCUGGGUAGGAGGUGUGGGGUAAGUCUGCCUCAUCUUCCUCUAAAUGAGUAGGAAGCAGGGAAGAGGGAAUAGUAAGCAUAACCUGGGUAAUGAGUGCUACAUGUCUCCUGUACAUCUCACUAAAGGCCUGGAGGAAGGCAAAUGGGGUGCUAGAGUGGUGUGACAGGCUUGACCCUGCCAGUGACACUGCCUUUAAAAUGCUGAAGGAUGUAUGACAAAGCUCUUAUCUUCUCACUUUCCCUUUUUAGAAACCUCCAAGUGUCCGCAUUUGUGAAAUCUGGGAUAGUUUCUCCCAUCUCCCUAUCAAGGCUAUAUGUACUUUUAAUGACUAAGUGCUACUGAAUCCAACAUUCUUCUCUUAUUUUCCAUUCCCAAUGCUAGCACUGAAAAGCUGAGCUUUUAUUUCAUAUCUGGAUUAUUGGUAGCUGUCUAAGUGUUUUCCUGUUUGCCAUCUCUCUCAUCUAAGCCAAACUGCACUUGUCUACAAGAUUAAUCUUGUUAAAGCAUAGCUUUCAUCUUUUUAAAUACCUCUUCAAAAGCAUUUAGGGGAGAG
RNAcentral lists this long non-coding RNA (1053 nucleotides) under Monodelphis domestica (gray short-tailed opossum). Its description in RNAcentral is "lncRNA (ENSMODG00000049438.1)". The record is from RNAcentral. Lineage: Eukaryota; Metazoa; Chordata; Mammalia; Didelphimorphia; Didelphidae.